UUGAUCCAUGGUAAUAAUUAAGAAUUUUAAAUCUGCAAAAAAAGAAACUGCUAAAUUAAAAAAAUUGUUCUUUCACUUUUCAUAUCUGUAAUUGAAUGAAUUAAUUGAUGAAUUUCACUCACGUUUAUAGGCAGAGUGGGGCAGUUUCUUAUGUGCUAUAAAACUACCUACUUUUUAUUAAAGUGGACGAUUAUUAAACUGCCACUUCUCAAAUGGGCACAUUGGACUUAAGAAAUAUAAACCACUUUAAUUAAUUAUUUAAUAAUAUUACAUGGGCCACAAUUAAUUGGUUUUACAUCAUUCACCUAAAAUGCUGCAGCUGUUGGCUAGAGCAAAAGCCUGGAGUAAGAAGAAAUCAUUGACAUCAGUCGUGGCUAUAGAGGACUGCUGGCUGCGGCUAGACGAGGCAAACAGGUGAAAUGGUGAAGGGGAGUCGGAUUUAGAGUGAAGAUCGGUAGUCUGGUUGAGGGUGGGUUGGGAAAUUAAGAAAGUGGAGAUAUGAGACAUUUGCAUUGGGCCUAGCGCAGUGGUUCAAUGGGUUUUUCAUCGGCUAAGCUAGAUCUAUUUUUCACUCAGCUAACCAUAUAAUAAUAAAAAACAAAAAGAAUUGUGGAAAUUACACCACGGUAGGUAUUUAAAGAUGACAAUUCUAAAAUAGAGUUUUAAGUCUACUUGAACAUAUAUCAGGUAUUAAUCGAAAUGAAAAUUAAUCUCUCUCAUCUUUAUCUCUCGCUCCCACUCUCUGUCAUCUCUUACUCUCCUAGUCUUGCACCGUCAUCACCGAAGCUCCAGCCAGCAAGGUCGUGCACAGCAACGUCAGAUCACCAUCGGAGCCAACUGAAGGAGAAGGAAAUGGUUGUAUUGGCCAUCAGAGCCUCCUCCACACUGCCCAAGAGUGGUGAUAAAAGUUGGAUCCAUCGGAAAAUAUUGGUGUUUCCCGAUGAGAAUAAUCUAAAGACAUUGAGGAAGAUGGCCCACGUCGGUAAUGUCGAGAUCAGAAGUCGGAAGCUGAAGAGGAAUUUGAGUAUGAUUUUUAGGGAAAUUAAUUUUGUAAAUAAUGUCCGAAAGGUUAUUUAUUCUUUAUUUAACCAAAAUAAGUGUUUGAUUGUUUCAUGAUUUGGGGGCUGCUGUCAAAUGGGGCACAGAUUUUUGUGUUGUAAAGGGAUUGAAAAUUUGGAGCUUUAAGGGCAGCUUUUCUUACAAGAUUUGACAGUGGAGCUAGUUAAUUUUAGAAAAGGGCUCUAAGUGGUGGUUGAAAGUGGUUUUCGUGAUGUUUUGGCAUUGGUGAUUUACAUGGUUGUGUGGUUCUUAUUGGUGAUGGCGGUAGUGAGAUAGCGGUGGGUGUGGUGGAGUGUUAUGGUGGUGGUUAUGGUGGAAUGUUGGCGGUGGAUCAAUGCCCAUAGGUGGUGAUGGUGGCGGUGUGUAGGCACAAUCGAUUGAGUAUUUGUGACCAAAUCUCUUGAAUAUGUAACCUAUCAAAGUGCACAGAUCACUUAUCAAAAUGCACAUGUCACUGUUUUAAGAAAUUUGAUAACAAACCACUAGAUCAGGUCAUAGGUCUAAGAGAUUUGUUCACCUGCCAUUGGAUCAAGUCACUAUCAUAUGCAACAGGGCACAAGUUACAAAUUCAAAAAAUUUGGUCACAUGCCAUUGAAUUAGGUCAUAAGUCAUGUUAAAUGCAUAGGUCACAAGUCAUGAAUUCAAAAGAUUUGGUCACAGACCAUUGGCUCAGGUCACAUGUUAUAAAUCCAAGAGAUCUGGUUACAUGCAAUUAAAUUCUCCGACCUCAGUUAUUCGAAUUAGUUAAAAAUUCAAUUAAUAAGAUUUCGACAGUGAGAAUUGAAGUUAUUUGCUUAAGUAAGUAUUCUGUAAAUUACAUGAGGAGCUGUUUUUCAAUUUUAAGUUUUAAAUUAUACCUACUGAGUCGUGAAUGAUGAAGAUGAUCGGUCGACGAAGUUCAGUUUGCAGUCGAAGAAGUCGUCGACAAAUUGGGUAGGAGCGAUUGUUCAGUGAAAUUGGUGUAAAUAGAUUAAUUUAAUUUGAUAAUAUUAUUAUUUAAAAUUAAAAUAGAAACCUGACUUUUGAAUUUUGAAACUUAAUGUCUGGGAAUUGCUUUGUUGCAUACUUGAUAGCUGAGAUGUGAUUUCUUCCCAAAAGAAUUUCUAUAUAGGGCUACCCUUGUUGGGCCGGCUUCAAGCAAGUCCGCCCCUACACUAAGAAUUUUUAAGAUAAUCAAAUGGUUCAAACAUUUGACAGAGGUAAAUUCAUACCAAGGAACGAACAAGUUUGAAUAAAAAUUUAAGAAAUGUUGCCAAGUAAUUAUAUUUACACCCUUUAUAACCACCAUGGAUUUUGUGAGCAUCCUUUCUGGGAAAUUGGUUAAGGCACAGAUGUCGCUGUGUUGAUUCCCGAAUUCACAAUAAACACCGAGUAUCGUGCAUGCCUUCAGCCAUGACAUGGCAACAGUAAGGCAACGUUCGUGCCAUAUCCAAUUUCCGGGAAAAUGCUCACAGAUCUCUACGUGCUAGUUGGGUGCCCAUCUGCGAUGCAAACCCCUCUAUUCCCUAGGCUUUAGGCAUCCUAUUUAAUUGAGUUUACCAAAUGUCAUGUGUACCCUUAGAAUGGCUUUUCACUAAGCUGCACCAUACAAUACUGGACCACAUUAAAAGGAUAAAAGUGAAGCUACGAAUAUGUCCAUUGUACAGUCAUGUACUAUCCAAUACUGGAAGAACGGAAAUAAAAUAAAUCAGUAGUCUCAUAGGCUCAGGAAAGACAUUAUUUCUGAUCUUGGCAAGAGAGAUUAGAAAAUUGCUACAAUUUAGUCUAUUGUACAGACUUAAUUUCAUUUAUUAGUCAAUUCCAAGUAUUUUAUUUCGACUUGUUGAAGACUUUUCCCUUAAAGUGAAGCUACGAAUAUGUCCAUUGUACAGUCAUGUACUAUCCAAUACUGGAAGAACGGAAAUAAAAUAAAUCAGUAGUCUCAUAGGCUCAGGAAAGACAUUAUUUCUGAUCUUGGCAAGAGAGAUUAGAAAAUUGCAACAAUUUAGUCUAUUGUACAGACUUAAUUUCAUUUAUUAGUCAAUUCCAAGUAUUUUAUUUCGACUUGUUGAAGACUUUUCCCUUGCCGAAAAGCAAGGAUAUGCACCAAACAUGUACUUCAUGUCCUCGUAUUGACAACAUCUAUUCAGCAAUAAAAAUGAUUUAUGCAUCAUCCAUAACUUUCCCUGCCCACCCCCACCUAAAAAAAAAAAAAUGUAAAGAGAGACAAAAUAGACAUUAAAAAAAAUUAAAAAAAUAAAAGCAGCAUAGAAUGUUGCGAGAUUGAUGCUCGGAGACUCCUCCAUACCCCACCAUAUUGAUAAUCUUCUCCCUAUUUUCACGUUUUAAGUAGCAUGUAGCAUCUUGUAAACUGUAGAUUUAAUCACGCAUUUAAUUGAAAAUGUAGCUGUUUUCAUUUCACGCAUUUUGUCGAACAGUUUUCAAACAUCACAGCUUCACAGUUGGACAAUCCAAUAAAAACAUAGAAAUUUCUAGAAUCACAUAUAACUCCAGAAAAGAAAUAAUACUCAAAAUACUUUAUAAAAAAAAAUACAUAUACUUCAUUGGAACAAAAAAGAAAUAAAAUUUCAAAUUUUCAGUAGCCGUACAAAUUUAUAGCUGAGCAAAACAAAGUUAAGAUCUUCAAAACUAUUCUUGACUUCUUGAAAACAGAAAAAUUGAAAUGCUAAUUAUAAUUACCGAUGGAAGUAAUAAAGAAGAAAUGAAAGGGCGGACCUUUUUAGAUGCCGGACGAGAGCGUCAGCUGGUUUGAUUAGAGAUUGUUCCAACACCCUAUUCUCUAAUUUUUUAUUUUAUUUUUCUCUCUCUCUAUGAUUGAAACCGUUCCUCCGAUAGUAAAUUUGAGACAAGUAUUUGACAAAUAAUGGUCAUCCCUAUAAUAAAG
This 3943-nucleotide long non-coding RNA is filed under the name Olea europaea (common olive). RNAcentral's name for it is "long non-coding RNA (OEUR_LNC015064)". The record is from RNAcentral. Lineage: Eukaryota; Viridiplantae; Streptophyta; Magnoliopsida; Lamiales; Oleaceae.